RNAcentral lists this ribosomal RNA (771 nucleotides) under uncultured archaeon. RNAcentral's name for it is "bacterial SSU rRNA". It matches the Rfam family "Archaeal small subunit ribosomal RNA", at positions 1 to 750 of the family's 1478-position model. The record is from RNAcentral.
UUCCGGUUGAUCCUGCCGGACCCGACUGCUAUCGGAUUGAGAUUUAGCCAUGCGAGUCGAACGUCCCCCUGUUGCGGGGGGCGUGGCGUACGGCUCAGUAACACGUAGUCAACCUGCCCUGGAGACAAGGACAACCCCGGGAAACUGGGAUUAAUCCUUGAUAGGUCAUCUCAUCUGGAAGGAGAGAUGGCUUAAAGGGGUACGCGGGCUUCUUCCGCGAAUCUGCUCCAGGAUGGGACUGCGUCCGAUCAGGCUGUUGGCGGGGUAAUGGCCCACCAAACCUGUAACCGGUACGGGCCUUGAGAGAGGUGGCCCGGAGAUGGACACUGAGAGAAGGGUCCAGGUCCUACGGGGCGCAGCAGGCGCGGAACCUUCGCAAUGCGCGAAAGCGUGACGAGGCUAAUCCGAGUGACUCCCGCUGAGGGGGUCUUUUGUCAGCUGUAAAUAGGCAGGCGAAUAAGGGGAGGGCAAGCCUGGUGUCAGCCGCCGCGGUAAUACCAGCUCCUCGAGUGGUCGGGGCGAUUAUUGGGCCUAAAGCAUCCGUAGCCGGUUCCGUAGGUCCUCUGUUAAAUCCAACCGCUUAACGGUUGACCUGCAGAGGAUACCGCGGGACUAGGAGGCGGGAGAGGCGGACGGUACUCCGCGUGUAGGGGUAAAAUCCUUUGAUCCGCGGAAGACCACCAGUGGCGAAGGCGGUCCGCCAGGACGCGCUCGACGGUGAGGGAUGAAAGCUGGGGGAGCGAACCGGAUUAGAUACCCGGGUAGUCCCAG